This is a non-coding RNA of Pseudonaja textilis, 145 nucleotides long. The record is from RefSeq and is a predicted model, not a curated record. Lineage: Eukaryota; Metazoa; Chordata; Lepidosauria; Squamata; Elapidae.
AGACUGAACAAAUUGUAAUGAACAUACAGCAUCAACUUAUAUUAUUUACAUAGAACAUGUACAAGUAGAUAAGCAUAUAUUCUAUCAUGGAUUUCCAAUGUUCUUUUUUAUCUUAAGACAUUUUUCCUUAGGCAUUAAAUAUAUU